RNAcentral lists this ribosomal RNA (205 nucleotides) under Salmonella enterica subsp. enterica serovar Typhimurium. RNAcentral describes it as "partial 23S ribosomal RNA". It matches the Rfam family "Bacterial large subunit ribosomal RNA", at positions 1 to 197 of the family's 2925-position model. Lineage: Bacteria; Pseudomonadati; Pseudomonadota; Gammaproteobacteria; Enterobacterales; Enterobacteriaceae. The record is from RNAcentral.
GGGUUGUGAGGUUAAGCGACUAAGCGUACACGGUGGAUGCCCUGGCAGUCAGAGGCGAUGAAGGGCGUGCUAAUCUGCGAUAAGCGCCGGUAAGGUGAUAUGAACCGUUAUAACCGGCGAUACCCGAAUGGGGAAACCCAGUGUGAUUCGUCACACUAUCAUUACGUGAAUACAUAGCGUAAUGAAGCGAACCGGGGGAACUGAA